CGCGUGGUUCUAUUUUGUUGGUUUUUAGAACCGCCGUAAUGAUUAAUAGGGACAGUCGGGGGCAUCUGUAUUCAAUUGUCAGAGGUGAAAUUCUUGGAUCUAUUGAAGACAAACUACUGCGAAAGCAUUUGCCAAGGAUGUUUUCAUUGAUAAGGAACGAAAGUUAGGGGAUCGAAGACGAUCAGAUACCGUCGUAGUCUUAACUAUAAACUAUGCCGACUAGGGAUCGGACGAUGUUAUUUUUUGACUCGUUCGGCACCUUUCGAGAAAUCAAAGUGCUUGGGCUCCAGGGGGAGUAUGGUCGCAAGGCUGAAACUUAAAGAAAUUGACGGAAGGGCACCACCAGGGGUGGAACCUGCGGCUUAAUUUGACUCAACACGGGGAAACUCACCAGGUCCAGACACAGUGAGGAUUGACAGAUUGAUAGCUCUUUCUUGAUUCUGUGGGUGGUGGUGCAUGGCCGUUCUUAGUUGGUGGAGUGAUUUGUCUGCUUAAUUGCGAUAACGAACGAGACCUUAACCUGCUAAAUAGCCCGUAUUGCUUCGGCAGUACGCUGGCUUCUUAGAGGGACUAUCGGCUCAAGCCGAUGGAAGUUUGAGGCAAUAACAGGUCUGUGAUGCCCUUAGAUGUCCUGGCCGCACGCGCGUUACACUGACAAAGCCAGCGAGUAUUUCCUUAGCCGGAAGGCUUGGGUAAUCUUGUUAAACUUUGUCGUGC
RNAcentral lists this ribosomal RNA (717 nucleotides) under uncultured fungus. RNAcentral's name for it is "SSU rRNA". It matches the Rfam family "Eukaryotic small subunit ribosomal RNA", at positions 827 to 1570 of the family's 1831-position model. The record is from RNAcentral. Lineage: Eukaryota; Fungi.